This 424-nucleotide ribosomal RNA is filed under the name Verrucomicrobiota bacterium. Its description in RNAcentral is "Verrucomicrobia bacterium partial 16S ribosomal RNA". It matches the Rfam family "Bacterial small subunit ribosomal RNA", at positions 355 to 776 of the family's 1533-position model. The record is from RNAcentral. Lineage: Bacteria; Pseudomonadati; Verrucomicrobiota.
UGAGGAAUAUUGGUCAAUGGACGAGAGUCUGAACCAGCCAAGUAGCGUGCAGGAUGACGGCCCUAUGGGUUGUAAACUGCUUUUGUUUGGGAAUAAUCGACAUUACGUGUAAUGUUUUGCAUGUACCAUUCGAAUAAGGACCGGCUAAUUCCGUGCCAGCAGCCGCGGUAAUACGGAAGGUCCAGGCGUUAUCCGGAUUUAUUGGGUUUAAAGGGAGUGUAGGCGGUUGGUUAAGCGUGUUGUGAAAUGUAGAUGCUCAACAUCUGACUUGCAGCGCGAACUGACAGACUUGAGUGCGCACAACGUAGGCGGAAUUCAUGGUGUAGCGGUGAAAUGCUUAGAUAUCAUGACGAACUCCGAUUGCGAAGGCAGCUUACGGGAGCGCAACUGACGCUAAAGCUCGAAGGUGCGGGUAUCGAACAGG